UACGGAGGGUGCAAGCGUUAUCCGGAUUUACUGGGUUUAAAGGGUGCGUAGGUGGGCAGGUACGUCAGUGGUGAAAUCUCCGGGCUUAACUCGGAAACUGCCAUUGAUACUAUUUGUCUUGAAUAUCCUGGAGGUAAGCGGAAUAUGUCAUGUAGCGGUGAAAUGCUUAGAUAUGACAUAGAACACCCAUUGCGAAGGCAGCUUACUACGGGAUUAUUGACACUGAGGCACGAAAGCGUGGGGAUCAAACAGG
Molecule: ribosomal RNA, 253 nt
Filed under: uncultured bacterium
Lineage: Bacteria
Description: partial 16S ribosomal RNA
Rfam family: Bacterial small subunit ribosomal RNA
Source: RNAcentral